UAUUGUCUAUUCAAAAUUCAAAAUUCUGGACAGUUGAAUUUUGCUGCACUCUACAGCCUGUUAUUAGUUUAUUUAUAUUUAUUAUUGUUUUGUGUUUCGUCUAGCGGUUGAAUAUUUUGUACAUUAAAAUUGUGUGUUUUUAUCAUUUUACGUAUUGUAUCCAUGAGUAACAUGGAAGUGGAUGGUGCGGAGAACAGUAAUAGUUGUAGCAAUAUAUCAGACGGAGGAAAGUAUGCUAAUUCAAAAGCAUUCGUGGAUGCUGCACGCCAGUAUGAAACCACACAUAGCGAGGCGUCUGUUAGUUUAAUGAACAGACAUUUAAACCUGUUAGCGUCGACGUGUGAUUUAUCAAUAUUCGCUCCCGGGAGGUCGGAGGUGUGCGCUUUGUUCAGCUCGCUGUGGCGCGUGAUGAGGGAGCCGGGCGGGCCGCACUGGGCCGGCGUCGCGGUCCUGGCCCGGGCUUGCAUGGAGCCGAGCGCCCGGCAUGCGCUUACGCACACUUACAAAUUUAUGCCAAUAUUGACUCAGUUGUUAUCAAAUUCUAUUUCAAAUGACAAGAAAAUCAAGCUGCUUUCGGUAAUGCAGGACAUUUCCUAUGGUAUUAUUAUAAGUUGGCAGGAGUCAUACCUUCCUGUGCUCAUGAAGAAGUUAACAGACUGGAUCACAACCUCAUGCAAUGACCCCCAGGAGCAAUUGAUCAAACACCGGUCCCUCACAGUGUUGGCCAACAUCUGCUCUGGAAACUUACCCGCUGUAUAUGCUUUGAUAAGGACCAUAGAUACUAAGAAAUUUGUUGUACAUCUCAUGGGUUUAAAGGAUGGCUGGUGCGGAGGGGCCGACGUGUGCCGGCUGUUGUUGUGCCUGUCGGCGGCGACGCGCGGCGCGGGCGCCGUGCGCCAGACCGACGUCAACAGCUACCUGUCCUGCUGCGUGCUCACCUUCAGCAAGGCGGUCAUAGAUAAGGACUCGAGUCAACUACUGCAGGCGUACACCCUCAUGAACGAGCUGUGCCAAGACAUCAACCUGAGGAACCUCGUCGCCAGCGCGCCCGACUUCUGCCUCGAGACCACCUUGAAGAACUUGGUGGAGUUUUGCAACGCACCCAAUCAAGCAUUAGAGCCUGAGCAAGUUACUGCUGUUGUCCAAAAUGCUUUAAAGUUCCUCGUGGUCUUAGUUAAUUUAGAUAUGUAUCCGUUCCGCAAAAACCACUGUCAAAUGCUUUGUCUGUGUUUGGUCGCACACCGGUUGUGUCUGCCAGAGAGCUUGGAAUUAUUCUCAUCCAUCAUAUGUCAAUACAAAGAUGAAGGUCAGCUACCUGAAGAGUUAAUAUUGAUGAUUAGCGAGGGUCUGCCAGGGCUUCUAGUGCCACCAGCGCUAGAACCAGGGAAAGCUGGAUUGCAAUGGUUGCAAGUGGUAGGUGCCCUGUGCGAGACGGGUUCUACGCAAGAGCGAGUGCUAAGGGCAGUGUCGCCAGAGGCGUAUGAAGAGAUUCUAUACAGCGUUCUGCAGUAUUCUACACAAAACGGCUCGGUGGGUCAGGAGCAGGGCCAGCAGGCGGCCGUGCUCGGCUGCAAGACGGCGUUGACGCUGGCGCCGCUGCUGCCGGCGUGGGGAGCCGCGCUCAAGAGGUUCCUACUGAACAACCAGGUGCGCAAAAUGCUAUCGACGGGUCUACGCAACGGAACGCGACGGCUUGAAAUACUGAAGCUAAUUAGGCACCACCUAUUCCCUUGUGACCAAAUGGAUGAGGUUUUCGAGGAGUGUCCGAAGCAGUUGUCGGAGGGUAGCGCGUCGCCGCGCGCCGCGGAGGUGGACGAGGCGUGGCAGUCGGCGCCGCGCCUCACGCCGGGCCAGGAGCACGCCGUCGACGCGCUGGUGCGCCAGCUCACUGAAGCUCUUAAGAACAACAAGAUAUCCGACAUUGCGACAUCGAGUGUAAUGGAGCUAUAUGGAUACAAAAUGACAUGUUUGGAACAAAGACUGCAUUCACAAACUGUUGCGCUUCAGGGAGCAAGUGAACACAUGGCGUCUCUGCAACAUUCUCUAGCGAUGCUUCAAGCAACCAAUUCGUCUCAGCAGGAUGUUUUAUACACUACACAGAUGCAAAACGAAAAAUUAAAAAAGACAAUCGACAAUCUACAUAAGCAAUUAGAGGAUGCCGAGGGUGCCGUACGCGGGUACCGAGCGAAGGUCGUCUCGGAAAAAGCACUUAAAGAAAAGCAAAAAGAGAUACUGCAGAACGAAUUCAAAACCAAACUUAACACUCUAGAAAAUGAAAUGAGAGCCAUUGAAAAAGAAAACCAAGAAAAAUUGAAGACCGCUGAACAGGAAACUAAAGCAGUGCAGAAGUUACUGGACCAGGAGACGAGCAAGUGUAAUGAACUAGCAGCUGUGCUGAUACGGUUCGAAGAGCAAGUUCAGGCUCAAGUCAAAGAGAUAGAAGAAGCCAAUGCACUUGAGCGAUCUCUUAGAAAAGAAAUAGAACUUAAAGAAUUGACAAUAAAGCAUCAAGAAAAGACGAUACUCGAGCGAGAGAACCGGCUGUACCAGUUGAACACGCAGCUCGAGGAGAUGAAGCGCGUGCAGGAGAUGAUAGCCAAGCUCACGUCCAAGAGCGCUAGCACUGCCGCCUCGCCCAAUAACAGCACAUAACACAGGCAGGCCGGCAACGCGCUUCCGAGGGUAACAUAACGCGACUGGAUGCGCGUCUACUAUUAUUUAUAAAGUAAUGACUAAUGAAGACUAGAACUGAAAUUUUGACCAGUCUCUACUUUGUGAUAGUUUUUAGAAAUAUAAUUUUAUUUGUGACAUUAACAAUGAUGUAAAUUGAUCAAUAAUGUUCAUGGUAUGUAAUAGAAUAAGUUAUAAGAUUCUUUUUUUACCCUGGUAUAUACAUUUUAUUAAUUCUAGUCAAUAAAUUAUAUAAUGACUCGAACUGG
This is an RNA transcript of Cydia fagiglandana, 2939 nucleotides long. RefSeq lists it as uncharacterized. The transcript is spliced from 20 exons. The record is from RefSeq and is a predicted model, not a curated record. NCBI's taxonomy places the organism in Eukaryota, Metazoa, Arthropoda, Insecta, Lepidoptera, Tortricidae.